Molecule: unclassified non-coding RNA, 396 nt
Filed under: soil metagenome
Description: partial contains 5.8S ribosomal RNA, internal transcribed spacer 2, and large subunit ribosomal RNA
Rfam family: 5.8S ribosomal RNA (bases 1-120)
Source: RNAcentral
GAUGAAGAACGUAGCGAAAUGCGAUAAGUAGUGUGAAUUGCAGAAUUCAGUGAAUCAUCGAAUCUUUGAACGCACAUUGCGCCUCCUGGCAUUCCGGGAGGCAUGCCUGUUCGAGCGUCAUCAAACCCCAUCGUGCAAAUGAAUUAUUUUUUUUGCGCGGAAGUGACGAUUGAGCGAGAAUAACAAAUCCUCUCGCACCUCGUCGAAAUGAUUGCGGGCGGAAUUUGGGAUCGGGUUCCUCGGCGUAGUGUAUCAAUGCAUAUUUAUGCAACUUGCCGCGGAGUUGAGCCUGACCCACGCGUUCUCGCCGUACAAACACCUCAUUACUUUACAAGUUUUUGACCUCGGAUCAGGUAGGGAUACCCGCUGAACUUAAGCAUAUCAAUAAGCGGAGGA